This 71-nucleotide transfer RNA is filed under the name Loxodonta africana (African savanna elephant). It matches the Rfam family "tRNA". Rfam says of the family: Transfer RNA (tRNA) molecules are approximately 80 nucleotides in length. Their secondary structure includes four short double-helical elements and three loops (D, anti-codon, and T loops). The record is from Rfam by way of RNAcentral. Lineage: Eukaryota; Metazoa; Chordata; Mammalia; Proboscidea; Elephantidae.
ACAUUGGUGGUUCAGUGGUAGAAUUCUCACCUUCCAUGUGGGAGAUCCAGGUUUGAUUCCCAGCCAAAGCA